Molecule: ribosomal RNA, 199 nt
Filed under: Pseudomonas aeruginosa
Lineage: Bacteria; Pseudomonadati; Pseudomonadota; Gammaproteobacteria; Pseudomonadales; Pseudomonadaceae
Description: partial 16S ribosomal RNA
Rfam family: Bacterial small subunit ribosomal RNA (bases 41-199)
Source: RNAcentral
UGAGCCAAGUUUAGGGUUUUCUCAAAACCCAAGCAGUAUUGAACUGAAGAGUUUGAUCAUGGCUCAGAUUGAACGCUGGCGGCAGGCCUAACACAUGCAAGUCGAGCGGAUGAAGGGAGCUUGCUCCYGGAUUCAGCGGCGGACGGGUGAGUAAUGCCUAGGAAUCUGCCUGGUAGUGGGGGAUAACGUCCGGAAACGG